Molecule: ribosomal RNA, 266 nt
Filed under: uncultured bacterium
Lineage: Bacteria
Description: partial 16S ribosomal RNA
Rfam family: Bacterial small subunit ribosomal RNA
Source: RNAcentral
GAGUUUGAUCGUGGCUCAGGAUAAACGCUGGCGGCGCACAUAAGACAUGCAAGUCGAACGGACUUAAUCGAAAUAUUUAUAUUUUGAAGCGGUUAGUGGCGGACUGGUGAGUAACGCGUAAGGAACCUGCCUGUUAGAGGGGAAUAACAGUGAGAAAUCACUGCUAAUACCGCAUAUGCCAUAGUUACCACAUGGGUAAAUAGGUGGGAAAAGGAGCAAUCCGCUGACAGAUGGCCUUGCGUCUGAUUAGAUAGUUGGUGGGUAAC